AGAUAACAAGCUGGAAGAUCCUACUGAAUUAAUACCUGGGAGGGGUUUGGUUAAAUCCGUGAGGGAUAUGAUUUUCGGCAGGGAAGAAGAUGAUAUGCUAUAUGAAGAUCGUAUUUUUCAGUAUGCUUCAUUUAAUUCUGCUAAGUUCUUCGCAUUGCUGAUAAUUGUCCCAUGGGCUUUGGAUUUUGUAGUUCAUGACUAUGUUCUUAUGCCUUUUCUUGACAGAUAUGUUAAGACUGUACCUUUAGCAGCACAGAUGCUUGAUGUCAGAAGAAACCAAAAGCUUGAAAUGGUUAAGGAA
RNAcentral lists this unclassified non-coding RNA (301 nucleotides) under Hevea brasiliensis (rubber tree). The record is from RNAcentral. Lineage: Eukaryota; Viridiplantae; Streptophyta; Magnoliopsida; Malpighiales; Euphorbiaceae.